Molecule: small nucleolar RNA, 63 nt
Organism: Cyprinus carpio carpio
Lineage: Eukaryota; Metazoa; Chordata; Actinopteri; Cypriniformes; Cyprinidae
Source: Ensembl
GUGAUUUACUGAGUUACUGCACCAGUCUGAUUCAUCUGACUGAAUGGUAAACUCUGAUCUCAG